UACGGAGGGUGCGAGCGUUGUCCGGAAUCACUGGGCGUAAAGGGCGCGUAGGCGGCGGCGCAAGCGUGUGGUGAAAGCCCGGGGCUCAACUCCGGGUCGGCCAUGCGAACUGCGCGGCUUGAGCACUGUAGAGGCAGGUGGAAUUCCGGGUGUAGCGGUGGAAUGCGUAGAGAUCCGGAAGAACACCGGUGGCGAAGGCGGCCUGCUGGGCAGUGGCUGACGCUGAUGCGCGACAGCGUGGGGAGCAAACAGG
RNAcentral lists this ribosomal RNA (253 nucleotides) under uncultured bacterium. Its description in RNAcentral is "partial 16S ribosomal RNA". It matches the Rfam family "Bacterial small subunit ribosomal RNA", at positions 524 to 776 of the family's 1533-position model. The record is from RNAcentral.